This 376-nucleotide unclassified non-coding RNA is filed under the name soil metagenome. RNAcentral describes it as "partial contains 5.8S ribosomal RNA, internal transcribed spacer 2, and large subunit ribosomal RNA". The stretch from base 1 to 120 matches the Rfam family "5.8S ribosomal RNA", at positions 35 to 154 of the family's 154-position model. The record is from RNAcentral.
GAUGAAGAACGCAGCGAAAUGCGAUAAGUAAUGUGAAUUGCAGAAUUCAGUGAAUCAUCGAAUCUUUGAACGCAUCUUGCGCUCCUUGGUAUUCUGAGGAGCGUGCCUGUUUGAGUGUCAUUAAAUUCUCAACUACACUGACUUUGAAUUGGUGUGGCUUGGAUUUGGGGGGAAAAUUGUUGUGGGCUUUUUGUAUAGUCUGCUCCCCUGAAAUUGAUUAGCGGUACCUUUGUGGAACUGUCUACAGGUGUGAUAAUUAUCUACAUCUUAGACAUCUGCUGGAAUGCUGCUUUCUAAACCUUACUUGUAUUGACAAUCUUGACCUCAAAUCAGGUAGGACUACCCGCUGAACUUAAGCAUAUCAAUAAGCGGAGGA